This 91-nucleotide microRNA precursor is filed under the name Canis lupus familiaris (dog). Its description in RNAcentral is "mir-8799 microRNA precursor family". It matches the Rfam family "mir-8799 microRNA precursor family". The record is from Rfam by way of RNAcentral. Lineage: Eukaryota; Metazoa; Chordata; Mammalia; Carnivora; Canidae. RNAcentral also lists the same sequence under 1 other name.
GGCGGGAGGCCAGAUCCUGGGCUGUGUCCCGGGAACCCAGUGCUCCCGGGCCUGUACUGUUGGAUUCGCGCUCCCGGCCGUGCAUCCCCCU